GGAGUGUCAUGAUGGUGGUUAUAUCUUGUAUAGCCGAGUCUAGCUCUAUCUACUCCUAGCGUGAUGAAGUUCGCUAGGA
Non-coding RNA from Aerococcus viridans, 79 nucleotides. The record is from Rfam. NCBI's taxonomy places the organism in Bacteria, Bacillati, Bacillota, Bacilli, Lactobacillales, Aerococcaceae.